RNAcentral lists this long non-coding RNA (1499 nucleotides) under Microcebus murinus (gray mouse lemur). RNAcentral's name for it is "lncRNA (ENSMICG00000048291.1)". The record is from RNAcentral. Lineage: Eukaryota; Metazoa; Chordata; Mammalia; Primates; Cheirogaleidae.
CUCUGUAUAAAUUGGAUCCCUGUUGAACUUGAGCCCUGUGCAUAAUAAUUAUACUUGAUUAAAUAUACUGCUUUGCAUUUUGAAUAACAUUAUUUCUAGUCUGUUAUUUUCAUCUCUUUAACUAGAUUGUAAAUUUCUGAAGGGAAAGAAUCUUGCCUUAUGCUUCUCUUGGAUUCCUAUACUUGAAGUGCUGUAGCACAGUGCUGCUCACAUAGCUGAUCAUAACUCACUAAAUAGUUGGUCCGUAUUUCAAAGAGAUGUCAUAUCCGACAGAGCAGAUGCUGUAACCUAGAAGCAGGCAUAAUGACUCAAAUUUCUCUAUAGGCUUCUGAGAGGAAAAGCCUGGAUUUUGUGUUGUCUUUUCCAGCAUAGAUGUCAAGAAGUAAAGGAUGGUGCAUUACGCAAUCACAGACUUGAUCAUAUUCUGGAAAUAUUUUUCUGAUUGCAUCUGUUUUAGGAUAUUUCUUUACUGGGACAAAUGCACGUCAGAUCAGCUGAGAUACAAGCAGAAACACCUCAGAUACAAGUAGAACAAGGAUUACCGAUAAGUGUUGAGGAGCCUCAAGUGAAUAUGCUUAAGGAGCUUCCUGAAGCCACGUCAAGUGUGUUCCAGAUUGAACAAGAGGAUAUAGAAUGGGAAGCCUCAGAAGCAGAAGGCAUAGUAUUGAAACCUCAGGAAAUUUUGGAAGUUCAGCCAGCAGUGGAAUUAAGUAAACCUUUGGAAGAUGGACAGCCCAAAAGUGAUGCAAAAGCUGCCAAGCACGUGACUUUAAAGGUGAAAUCAUUAGAAUUCUUGGAAAUAAAAGGAAAAGAAGUUAAGCGAAUACGAAAAGCUGUAUCAGGGAUUUCACCACCGAGACCAAGAAAGUGUUUAAAACCCCCUUGGGAUCCAAAACUAAAUAAUAAAAUUCCAUACAACUACUCCACUCCUAACCUUCAUGAUCUGUGCACCACUAUCCCAUCCCGGGAAUUGCCCAUUGACUUGCGCCUGGCUUCUCGAGUGUAUCACACUGCUGAUAAGAAAGGCCACGAUACCCUACUUGGAGUAUUUGGAACAUCUUUCAUAAAUGAUCGCUUUUCAGAUGAAGAGCAAAAGGAUAGAAUACUGCAUGGAAUUCCUGUUGUGGCUAACAAGCAAGAAUAUGUUCAUGUUCCUCCAAUACUACCAGGAAUACCACCUGAAUUGGUACAAAGAACUGGAAAGCAUGCUCGCAGACCACCACACUUGCAAGUUUGGGGAGAGGAAAUGUAUGCUUAUCCAGGAUGUACGAAGUUGUUUUGGAAUACAACUGCUCCUAAAUUCUCUCUUCCAGAAACUGUCAUGAAGGAAACCGUAUAUCCAAAAUAUGAGGUAACAUACUGAAUGAGUUUUCUCUAUUAUUGUUAUUAUCAUUUAAUAAUUAAAUUGUAUAAUUGAUUAUGAAAUUCAAUUUUACUGGACAGCUGUUAUGAAGAUUGUCAGGCAACUAUUUCAAUAAUCAGGAUUGAUUGGAUGGCAC